RNAcentral lists this ribosomal RNA (434 nucleotides) under uncultured bacterium. RNAcentral describes it as "partial 16S ribosomal RNA". It matches the Rfam family "Bacterial small subunit ribosomal RNA", at positions 29 to 507 of the family's 1533-position model. The record is from RNAcentral.
AGCGAACGCUGGCGGCAGGCCUAACACAUGCAAGUCGAACGAACCUUCCGGGGUUGGUGGCGGAUGGGGGGGCAAACGGGUGGAUAAUGCCUUUAGGUCCGGCAUAACUCAGGGAAACUUGUGCUAAUACCGAAUGUGACCUCCGGGGGGAAGAUUUAUCGCCUUUAGAGGGGCCGGGGUCUGAUUAGCUAGUUGGUUGAGGUAAUGGCUCACCAAGGCGGCGGUGGGGAACUGGUUUGAGAGGGGGAUCCGGCACAUCGGGACUGAGACACAGCCCAAACUCCUACGGAAGGCAGGAGUGGGUAAUCCUGCGCAAUGGGGGAUAGCCUGACGCAGCCAUGCCGGGUGAAUGAUGAAGGUCGUAGGAUUGUAAAAUUCUUUCACCCGGGACGAUAUUGACGGUACCCGGAGAAGAAGCCCCGGCUAACUUCGUG